UAAAAGUUAAAGUGCACAAAUUGAUUUUAGCUAAUGAGAGAAGCCCAAUUCAUUUUACCUUUUUAUAUAUUAAGUGCUUAUGGUGAGGUUUAUUCAAACAAGGCCCUCUUCUAUGUUGAAUGUUGUUGCAAUUGUAUCUGCAUCUAAGAUUGUAUGUUGUUGGCGCAGAAAGUAUCUGACCCUGAAGCAUUCAUUAAGUUGCAUAGUGCAUCUUUUGUAGCAUGGAUGACAAUUCCAUUGACUCUUCCGAGCAAUCUUGCUCUGUGCGUCAAUGCCAAUUUUACCUAUGUGAAGGUCGGUUAACUUUGUUUCGGUAAUAGCAUAUUUAGAACUUAAGAGGUUGUUCAAUUUACCUUUCAAGCCUUUUCUGGUUGCAUUGGAGCAUGAUUUUAUAUUAUUGCGGACUGAAAAUGAAAAUGCGUUUGGACUGAGUACUUGAUAAUGUGACAUCCAUUAUUAAUUUGUUUGGUGAACGCAAACAUAUUGUUUCCUUAUUUUCUUGUUACUUGAACACUUAAUUUUUUUUUAAGCUGGUGAAUUCAGGUUCCUAAUAAGUAUUCAGGCAAAGUUUAUAUUGUUGCUGAAUCUCUUCUAUCUGCAAUCCAUAACCCAAGGAGCAACCCAAAGAAGCUGUUGUUAAUAGUGCAAAAGACGUUCCUAGAAAUACAAAUGCAAAGAUCAAGGGAGCCUCAGGUGAAAAAAUGGAAAAUGGGUUGGAUUCUUUCGAAGUGCUGGAGAAAGUCUUAGGAGCAUCAUUAGUAUGAACCAUUAUUUGAUUUCUUCAAGGACCUUUCUGAUACGGCUUUUAGAGUUGUUGUCAACAAUUUUGUUACGGACGAUAGCAGUACUGGUGUUUUCCAUUGUGCCCCUGCUUUUGGCGAAGAUGAUUUCCGUGUUUGCAUUGAUAAUCAAAUUAUUAGCAAGGAUAAUCUAACUGUAGUUGUUGAUGAUGAUGGGUGUUUUACUGAAAAAUUACUGACUUCAGUGGGUGCUACAUCAAACAUGCUGACAAAGAUAUCAUUGAAGCUAUGAAGGUAUGCUUCAUAUAUCUAAAAUUAUGAGAAGCUGUUAUUAAUUUGGAAUCAUUUAUGUUGCUGUUAAUUUGAAUGAUUAACUAAGGGGUUGUUUACUUUCACCGUUUUUUGUUUUCAUUUUCAAUAGAAAUAGAAAAUGAUGAUGAAAUCAUGCUUACUUAGGUGUUUUCAUUUUCAAUUUUAGAAAACAAACUCAUACCGGAAAGUCAUUUUUAGCAUUAAUGGAAACGAGAUGAUGGCAAUUUUGAAAA
Molecule: long non-coding RNA, 1285 nt
Organism: Glycine soja
Lineage: Eukaryota; Viridiplantae; Streptophyta; Magnoliopsida; Fabales; Fabaceae
Exons: 3
Source: RefSeq, a predicted model, not a curated record